RNAcentral lists this long non-coding RNA (530 nucleotides) under Homo sapiens (human). Its description in RNAcentral is "HSALNT0001420". The record is from RNAcentral. Lineage: Eukaryota; Metazoa; Chordata; Mammalia; Primates; Hominidae.
CGGGGCCGCGACGCGUCUCUCCAGCCCGGGAUCCGGGGAGCUGGGCUGUCCCCAGACCGACGGGACAGCGGCAUCUCCUCCACCUGAAAAGGAAAGAGGACCAGGUUGCAGGACUCCGAACUGGGCCCGCGAGAUCUCCACCUGCGCAAAACGAAAGGGCGGAUUCUCCUUGGACUCACGAGGCAACCGCUCCCCGGGGUGAGAACGGGGGACUCAUUCCUCCGGCACUGGGAGAAGACGAUUCUUUAGGAGGAGGACAGGGAAGCGAAACAGUGCUAGAGAAGCCGUGAGCCAGCUGGCAGGUGAGAACGCCCAGGUGCAGUGGGCAUGGCUUAGUUUUGUCCACUGCUGGAUCUCAGCAUCCAAAACAGUCUACCACCUGGUGUCUCAGUAUACUGGCUCGCGGCACAUCGGGCAAAUGAACCUAUCAGAUAACAACGGCAGAUCAGAUGCCUGAGCAUUCAGAAGCAACAGCUGUGGAGCCCCCGUGGGUUCAGAAGGCCUGGUUCCCGUCUCCAGAAGCCUGGCUC